This 213-nucleotide unclassified non-coding RNA is filed under the name fungal sp. RNAcentral describes it as "partial internal transcribed spacer region". The stretch from base 1 to 46 matches the Rfam family "Eukaryotic small subunit ribosomal RNA", at positions 1786 to 1831 of the family's 1831-position model. Lineage: Eukaryota; Fungi. The record is from RNAcentral.
AAGUCGUAACAAGGUUUCCGUAGGUGAACCUGCGGAAGGAUCAUUAGAAAAUAUACUGGACGUAAGUCUAGGAGUAAUGUGGGAUGGAGUGAAAGUUGGGAUUAGCGAUAAUCCCAAUUGAUCUCAAUAAUAUUAUUGUAUGGGAGUAUUUAGACUAGUCGGUAAGACGAUUUUAAAUCUAAAUAACUUUUGGCAACGGAUCUCUUGGCUCUU